Long non-coding RNA from Spinacia oleracea (spinach), 484 nucleotides. RefSeq lists it as uncharacterized. Lineage: Eukaryota; Viridiplantae; Streptophyta; Magnoliopsida; Caryophyllales; Amaranthaceae. The record is from RefSeq and is a predicted model, not a curated record. The transcript is spliced from 3 exons.
UUUGAUAAUUGGGGGGGUUUCAACACGAACCCACUAUAUGCGAUACUUCAUGAGGUGAUUUACUGCCAAGGUGUUCCAUCUCAGUGGGCUGCUCAAAGAAUAAGGGAGGCCAACGGAAGCAAGUUUGACGCAAUCAAAGCAGCAAAAGAAGGGCGUCCUGUAUAUUUUACGGGAGAGGUUUGCACAUCACUGAGUGGAGAUCCUUUCACCGAUGAGAAAUUUGAUGAAAUACGAGACAAAUGGGCAUCAUACUUCACCGAACAUUGUGUGUAAUUAACGCUUCAUCGAUUUCUUUUUGUGGAUGUUUCAUGCUAUUAAAAUCAUAUAUAAUUGCCUUAUUAUAUUUUUGGUGCAAUUUUGUAACGUAUGAAGUGUAAAAGAUAUAGUUAUUAUAGACUUGAAACUAUUAGGUGGUUUAUUUUUGUAAACAUAUGAUGUUUAACUUAUAUGUAAAAAUCAAAGUUUCUUGGAAGUUAUUGGUGGU